UAAUUGAAGAAGGGAGGAAAUACAGCCAUCUGUAUGACUCCUCUUUGGGAGAUUACAAAGUCUGCCAGAUGGCAGUGAAUUCGUGGGGGGGGGGUUUCCUCCAACGUCGGUUUAGAUGUAGCGGAGUGCAUGAAGAGAUGGAAGAACUCUCGAGACAAGUACGUUCGUCUCCAUAAAAAACUCGCCACAAGGAGCGGGGAUCAAGGAGGAAAAAAAAUCCCAGCAUUUUAUUUAUUCCUAUCUUGGCUGGCACCUCAUGUCAAACAUCGGCUUACGGAGUCAAACUUUGACGAUAAGGAUGGGACUGAUACCAGCUCAAACUCCACUGGUUUAUCGGAUGUGAGACCUCCAGCCAACAGCGAUGAUGACCAAUUACCAAGUGGUAGCCCCCAUCACCAGCCAUCUCUUCCGUCCCCGCAGCCAUCUCUUCCGUCCCCGCAGUCAUCUCUUCCGUCCCCCAGUCCAAGAAUGGCACAAAAAAGGAAGAGAAAAGAAAAAGAUGACUGGGUCCAAGUGCAGGUUGCUCGGUUGGAGGCUCAGUUGGAGGAACGGCGGGUGGAGCUGCAACAGAGACUGUGUCAAGGCAAUGAUGAGAGCGACCGGUUUGGACAAACUGUUGCAGAUAUGCUGCGGAGGGUGCCGGAGGACCACAGAGCGCAGGCAAUGUUCGACGUGUCAAAGAUACUUUUUGAGUGGCAGCAAAAAAACAAACAAUUGUGUCUACUUUGACAACGUUCAACCUUUUAAUUCUGCGCAUAUAGAAAUGCACUGUAUCUGCAGUUUGCACUUUUGCUUUUUUUUGUUUUUUUUUUUUGUAUAUAAUUUGCACUUUUGCAUCCAUUAAUAUUUAUCUUGUUUUACUCUUUGUGGAGGGUAUAAAGUUUGCACAUUUUUGUAUAUAGUAUGUACUUUAGCUUUUUUAUUUAUUGUCUGUUCACACCAAUUCAUGCAGGUUAUACGGUAGUUUGCAUCAUUUGUGAAGUUUCUCUUUUGCAUCUAUUUUUGAUAAUAAUUGUAGAUCAUUGCACAUUAAUACAUUGCACUGUCAUGCCCAUAUUUGUAUAUAGUUUGCACUUUUUAUAAAAAAAAAAAUACUGCUGUUUCCAAAAAUGUGUGAAGGUUAUUGCAAAUAAACAUUAACAUAUAGUUGCA
Molecule: long non-coding RNA, 1152 nt
Organism: Cyprinus carpio (common carp)
Lineage: Eukaryota; Metazoa; Chordata; Actinopteri; Cypriniformes; Cyprinidae
Source: Ensembl